AUUGAACGCUGGCGGCAGGCCUAACACAUGCAAGUCGAGCGGAUGAAGGGAGCUUGCUCCUGGAUUCAGCGGCGGACGGGUGAGUAAUGCCUAGGAAUCUGCCUGGUAGUGGGGGAUAACGUCCGGAAACGGGCGCUAAUACCGCAUACGUCCUGCGGGAGAAAGUGGGGGAUCUUCGGACCUCACGCUAUCAGAUGAGCCUAGGUCGGAUUAGCUAGUUGGUGGGGUAAAGGCCUACCAAGGCGACGAUCCGUAACUGGUCUGAGAGGAUGAUUAGUCACACUAGAACUGAGACACGGUCCAGACGCCUACGGGAGGCAGCAGUGGGGAAUAUUGGACAAUGGGCGAAAGACUGAUCCAGCCAUGCCGCGUGUGUGAAGAAGGUCUUCGGAUUGUAGAGCACUUUAAGUUGGGAGGAAGGGCAGUAAGUUAAUACCUUGCUGUUUUGACGUUACCAACAGAAUAAGCACCGGCUAACUUCGUG
Molecule: ribosomal RNA, 484 nt
Filed under: uncultured bacterium
Lineage: Bacteria
Description: partial 16S ribosomal RNA
Rfam family: Bacterial small subunit ribosomal RNA
Source: RNAcentral